RNAcentral lists this ribosomal RNA (600 nucleotides) under uncultured bacterium. Its description in RNAcentral is "bacterial SSU rRNA". It matches the Rfam family "Bacterial small subunit ribosomal RNA", at positions 735 to 1336 of the family's 1533-position model. The record is from RNAcentral.
CUCAACUGACGCUAAUGCUUCGAAAGUGCGGGUAUCGAACAGGAUUAAGAUACCCUGGUAGUCCCGCACGGUAAAACGAUGGAUGCCCGCUGUUUGGCGAUAUACUGUCAGCGGCCAAGCGAAAGCGUUAAGCAUCCCCACCUGGGGAGUACGCCGGCAACGGUGAAACUCAAAGGAAUUGACGAGGGCCCGCACAAGCGGAGGAACAUGUGGUUUAAUUCGAUGAUACGCGAGGAACCUUACCCGGGCUUGAACUGCAGCAGAACGAUAGAGAGAUCUUGAGGCCCUUCGGGGCUGCUGUGGAGGUGCUGCAUGGUUGUCGUCAGCUCGUGCCGUGAGGUGUCGGCUUAAGUGCCAUAACGAGCGCAACCCCUUCCGUCAGUUGCCAUCACUUUGGGUGGGCACUCUGGCGGUACUGCCACCGUAAGGUGUGAGGAAGGUGGGGAUGACGUCAAAUCAGCACGGCCCGACGUCCGGGUGUACACACGUGUUACAAUGGGUGGUACAGAGAGUCAACCGCGGGCAACGUCGGUUUAAUCAAUAAAGCCAUCCUCAGUUCGGAUUGGGGUCUGCAACCCGACCCCAUGAAGCUGGAUCGCU